Molecule: long non-coding RNA, 1794 nt
Organism: Neopsephotus bourkii (Bourke's parrot)
Lineage: Eukaryota; Metazoa; Chordata; Aves; Psittaciformes; Psittacidae
Exons: 3
Source: RefSeq, a predicted model, not a curated record
GGAGCUUUGAUGACUCGGGCGCUCAGAAGACAGAGCCACAGCAAACAGGCUGAUUAAAUAUAAACCCAGCUCCAGUAGUGCAGUGCGAGGGGCUAGGGCAGGGCAAAGCUGCCCUGCAGACAGUGCUCCAGCUCUGGCACGGGGGGCAUGAGGUGGAGAGGAAUGUUUUUACAUGCUGCAUUUAUGGCAGAAGUGAACCUGUGGAGCUGAGUCUGUGUGAUGGUGUGCAGCCUGGUGCUGGGGAUGAAGGAACUCAUGGGGUUGGCUGCUUGUAAUCACAGAGCUCUCAGAAUCUUCUGCUAAAAUGCCAGCUAUCAGCAUACUCCCUGAAAACAUUCCUGUUUCGGACACAAUGCUUUCUGCUGAACACUGACUCUAUUGACAGCAUCAUCUGAACACCAGCCUAUUACCAUCUGCAUUUCAAAGCUGGGGAAACUAAGGCACGGCAGCACCAUCUCCUGCUGCUCCAACAGAUCCCAUUCAUGGAACUGGGGGAGCAGGAAAGCGCUGAGGACCAAGCAGAGGGAUUGGUACUUGUGCUGGAAGAGGAGGAAUGGCCUUGGACCCCUAUGCCUUCUGGGACAGUCCCAGGUCUGCGUUGUGGCAUCCUGACCCCUGCAAGGGCUCUGCUGUACCUGGGGACACAGUCACACUCACAACUGCUGCACCUCCUGCACUGUCAGCUAAUUAACUGCCUAUUUUCCCCCUCUUCUUCUGCCUGAAUUGCAACAGACAUCUGGCAGAGUUUUACAUGGCCCCAGUCUUUAACUUUCUGCUUAUUAGGGGAUUUAAUAGUAAAACUUCCCCAGACAGGCAUCCUCCAAUGGAGUGGCAGCAGGAGCUAAGAUGUCCCAACAGGUGGGAUCUUUGCUGGGUUUCUCAGGACACCCCACAUCACCCAUCCCUGCUGUGAAGUUUUGGGGGUAUUUUAAGCUUGUCUGCACAUUUCCUCUGGUGAAAGAAGGAUCCAGACACGAUCCUCCAGUGCUGGGUCAAGCAUCUUUACCACCGGCCAUGCUCUGCACACCCCUAGAGCUCUCCUGCCAGGCUGAAGCAGUGUUUGGCAAACUCACACUCCGUUUCAGGACAGCCAAAGCCACAUUUCCCAAUGAGUUCAGCAGUUAUCCCUCUCCCAGGAGGUCACCCACGUCGUGAUGCUUCUGUGCCUACAUCUCCAUGUCCCCAGGACAGGGCAUCCCACAACCGCCCAGCACCAGGACUGUGUGGGUGCAGCCGCAGCCUUCCCUUCUCCAGACCAGCCCGGCUCAGGGCCAGGCGUCUGUGACUAAUUGGUAGCAAAGCACUUAUCAGGCAAACUUUAGCCUCUCUUCCGGUUCAUGCAUUGCUCAUGAGCUAUUUGUGAAUUUUUUGACUUUAAUUGUUAUCCUAAAUUAUUCAUCAAAUUAUUUCAAUAACUAGUUCUUGGGCCAGAUUACAUUUUAUAUGAGCUGUUUCCGUGCGUGCUUCUGCCAAAGAACUCACUGUCAAGCAGCCACAGAAAGCAAAUGCAAAAAGGGACAUGAAACACAGGGAAACAAACUGCAGGAAGCAUGAAGGGGACUUUUCACCCCGACCUGCUCAGUGUUUAAGGAACGCUCAGCCUGCAAGAGCAUGGGGUUGACCUGCCCAGCACCUCUCAGGAGCUGCCAAUGUCAGACCCGUUGCUCCACUGACAGCGGCUGAUGGACGAGCACGGUUUCCCCUCCCUUAGGUCACUGGGAGAGUCAUCAAACUGAUGAUAAACCCAGUGCUGCUGGCUCCCAGCACAGGCUCCCACUGCUGGGCUGCAUCUCC